Molecule: ribosomal RNA, 477 nt
Filed under: uncultured organism
Description: partial 16S ribosomal RNA
Rfam family: Bacterial small subunit ribosomal RNA
Source: RNAcentral
GUACACUCCUGCGGGAGGCAGCAGUGGGGAAUUUUGGACAAUGGGCGAAAGCCUGAUCCAGCAAUGCCGCGUGAGUGAAGAAGGCCUUCGGGUUGUAAAGCUCUUUUGUCAGGGAAGAAACGGUGAGAGCUAAUAUCUCUUGCUAAUGACGGUACCUGAAGAAUAAGCACCGGCUAACUACGUGCCAGCAGCCGCGGUAAUACGUAGGGUGCAAGCGUUAAUCGGAAUUACUGGGCGUAAAGCGUGCGCAGGCGGUUUUGUAAGUCUGAUGUGAAAUCCCCGGGCUCAACCUGGGAAUUGCAUUGGAGACUGCAAGGCUAGAAUCUGGCAGAGGGGGGUAGAAUUCCACGUGUAGCAGUGAAAUGCGUAGAUAUGUGGAGGAACACCGAUGGCGAAGGCAGCCCCCUGGGUCAAGAUUGACGCUCAUGCACGAAAGCGUGGGGAGCAAACAGGAUUAGAAACCCUUGUAGUCCCAUG